CUGUCCCUAGUACGAGAGGACCGGGAUGGACACACCACUGGUGGACCUGUUGUUGCGCCAGCAGCAGUGCAGGGUAGCUAUGUUCGGACAGGAUAACCGCUGAAGGCAUCUAAGCGGGAAGCCCCCCUCAAAACAAGGUAUCCCCGAGGGCCGUGGUAGACCACCACGUCGAUAGGCCGGAGAUGUAAGCAG
RNAcentral lists this ribosomal RNA (192 nucleotides) under Thalassiosira minuscula. Its description in RNAcentral is "partial Bacterial large subunit ribosomal RNA". It matches the Rfam family "Bacterial large subunit ribosomal RNA", at positions 2672 to 2876 of the family's 2925-position model. Lineage: Eukaryota; Bacillariophyta; Thalassiosirophyceae; Thalassiosirales; Thalassiosiraceae. The record is from RNAcentral.